UGAAUUUUAGUUAAAUAAUAACAUCAGAUUGUCACACUGAAAUUGUCUUACAAAUUCUU
This 59-nucleotide transfer RNA is filed under the name Linguatula arctica. RNAcentral's name for it is "tRNA-Asp". Lineage: Eukaryota; Metazoa; Arthropoda; Ichthyostraca; Porocephalida; Linguatulidae. The record is from RNAcentral.